CUUCCUGGCCAGUAGUGUCUUAUGUGUGGGAACAGGUUUUUUUUGUGUAGGGCUGUCCUCUGUGUUUGUGUCUGCUGUUUGUUUGUCUGUGUGUUUUUGGGGCUGGAGCUGCCUUGCCUGUGGGUGUUAGCCAUGGUGGUGUGUGGAGUGUGUCCGUGAUGGACUGGAGUGGUGGUGUUGCAGGCAUCGUCUGAGUGUGUGAUUUCUCUCUGUGCUUGCAGGUUUUGUGGGAAGUUGUGGAGAGAAGCAGCUGAGUGCUGAGAAGAGCCUGAGCAGGUCUGCUGUGGGCCUUUCCCAGGCGUGGCUGAGACUUUCAGGUGCCACGGGCUUCCUCCCCAGGCAUUGGAGUUGUUGUGGUGCAGGUGAUGAAGGCAAAUGUGGUGAGCAAAGGAAGAUCAGUGUGGAUGCGGCUGCUGCUGAGGAUGGCUCUUGAGGACCGGUGACCUACAGCACUGCCACAGUUAAGUUGAGGGGCAAAGGGUGUUGGGGCAUCCUCAGUUUCUGUGUAUGUGUGUGUGCGUGCUGAUGUUCAGUGUAGAGUGGAGGGUUGUUCUGGAUGAGUGGUGUGUGUGAGGCAGAGGCAGUGGGGUGUGCAUGGCAGAAAGCGAGGGUGGGUGUCAGGCAGGGCAGCUCCAGCCUGUGUCUGUGUUGUUGUGUAGUCUAUGUGGUGUGUGUUGUAGCUGUGCUAUCUUUUGCUCAGGUCUUGAUGUUGCUCUUGCUCUUUGUGCUCAAGGAGCACAGCCUAUGCUCUGCAGCAGUAGUGUGGCAGGCAUCCAUUGUCUUUUGCCUGGCCAGACUCAUCAGCAUUGCUCCAAUGGACUACGUCUUGUUCUGCAUAGGCAGCUGAAAGGGGUGGUCUGUGACUCUGACUGUGCAUCGUGGCCGUUUGCGGUCCGUCAUAGUCGUGGCCACCGUUGAGGCCUCAUCGGCCACACCUCUUCCGGGGCCGCUCUUGUCUUGCG
Long non-coding RNA from Dromaius novaehollandiae (emu), 962 nucleotides. RefSeq lists it as uncharacterized. The record is from RefSeq and is a predicted model, not a curated record. The transcript has 4 exons. NCBI's taxonomy places the organism in Eukaryota, Metazoa, Chordata, Aves, Casuariiformes, Dromaiidae.